Molecule: transfer RNA, 72 nt
Filed under: Ictidomys tridecemlineatus (thirteen-lined ground squirrel)
Lineage: Eukaryota; Metazoa; Chordata; Mammalia; Rodentia; Sciuridae
Description: Spermophilus tridecemlineatus (thirteen-lined ground squirrel) tRNA
Rfam family: tRNA
About the family: Transfer RNA (tRNA) molecules are approximately 80 nucleotides in length.
Source: Rfam by way of RNAcentral
GGGAAUAUAGCACUGUGGUAGAGCACUUACCUCAUAUGCAAGAAGCCCUGAGUUCACUUCCCAGUACUGCAA